GUCAGAAUGGCCGAGUGGUCUAAGGCGCCAGACUCAAGAUGAUUCAAUCUUCUCUGGAAAUGAGAUCCCACUUCUGACA
Molecule: transfer RNA, 79 nt
Filed under: Danio rerio (zebrafish)
Lineage: Eukaryota; Metazoa; Chordata; Actinopteri; Cypriniformes; Danionidae
Rfam family: tRNA
About the family: Transfer RNA (tRNA) molecules are approximately 80 nucleotides in length. Their secondary structure includes four short double-helical elements and three loops (D, anti-codon, and T loops).
Source: Rfam by way of RNAcentral